RNAcentral lists this ribosomal RNA (497 nucleotides) under uncultured Actinomycetes bacterium. RNAcentral describes it as "bacterial SSU rRNA". It matches the Rfam family "Bacterial small subunit ribosomal RNA", at positions 355 to 866 of the family's 1533-position model. The record is from RNAcentral. Lineage: Bacteria; Bacillati; Actinomycetota; Actinomycetes.
UGGGGAAUAUUGCACAAUGGGCGAAAGCCUGAUGCAGCAACGCCGCGUGCGGGAAGAAGGCCUUAGGGUUGUAAACCGCCUUCAGCAGGGAAGAAACUGACGGUACCUGCAGAAGAAGGUGCGGCCAACUACGUGCCAGCAGCCGCGGUGACACGUAGGCACCAAGCGUUGUCCGGAUUUAUUGGGCGUAAAGAGCUCGUAGGCGGUUCAGUAAGUCGGGUGUGAAAACUCUGGGCUCAACCCAGAGACGCCACCCGAUACUGCUGUGACUUGAGUACGGUAGGGGAGUGGGGAAUUCCUGGUGUAGCGGUGAAAUGCGCAGAUAUCAGGAGGAACACCAGUGGCGAAGGCGCCACUCUGGGCCGUAACUGACGCUGAGGAGCGAAAGCGUGGGUAGCAAACAGGAUUAGAUACCCUGGUAGUCCACGCCGUAAACGUUGGGCACUAGGUGUGGGUCUCAACCAACGAGAUCCGCGCCGUCGCUAACGCAUUAAGUG